CAGCAGCCGCGGUAAUACAGAGGGUGCGAGCGUUAAUCGGAUUUACUGGGCGUAAAGCGUGCGCAGGCGGUUAUAUAAGACAGAUGUGAAAUCCCCGGGCUCAACCUGGGAACUGCAUUUGUGACUGUAUAGCUAGAGUACGGCAGAGGGGGAUGGAAUUCCGCGUGUAGCAGUGAAAUGCGUAGAUAUGCGGAGGAACACCGAUGGCGAAGGCAAUCCCCUGGGCCUGUACUGACGCUCAUGCACGAAAGCGUGGGGAGCAAACAGGAUUAGAUACCCCGGUAGUCCCUGUCUCUUAUAA
This 301-nucleotide ribosomal RNA is filed under the name uncultured bacterium. Its description in RNAcentral is "partial 16S ribosomal RNA". It matches the Rfam family "Bacterial small subunit ribosomal RNA", at positions 509 to 809 of the family's 1533-position model. The record is from RNAcentral.